AAGAGAGGAGCUUGCUCUUCUUGGAAGAGUUGCGAACGGGUGAGUAACGCGUAGGUAACCUGCCUUGUAGCGGGGGAUAACUAUUGGAAACGAUAGCUAAUACCGCAUAACAAUGGGUGACCCAUGUCAUUCAUUUGAAAGGGGCAACUGCUCCACUACAAGAUGGACCUGCGUUGUAUUAGCUAGUAGGUGAGGUAACGGCUCACCUAGGCGACGAUACAUAGCCGACCUGAGAGGGUGAUCGGCCACACUGGGACUGAGACACGGCCCAGACUCCUACGGGAGGCAGCAGUAGGGAAUCUUCGGCAAUGGGGGCAACCCUGACCGAGCAACGCCGCGUGAGUGAAGAAGGUUUUCGGAUCGUAAAGCUCUGUUGUAAGUCAAGAACGAGUGUGAGAGUGGAAAGUUCACACUGUGACGGUAGCUUACCAGAAAGGGACGGCUAACUACGUGCCAGCAGCCGCGGUAAUACGUAGGUCCCGAGCGUUGUCCGGAUUUAUUGGGCGUAAAGCGAGCGCAGGCGGUUUGAUAAGUCUGAAGUUAAAGGCUGUGGCUCAACCAUAGUUCGCUUUGGAAACUGUCAAACUUGAGUGCAGAAGGGGAGAGUGGAAUUCCAUGUGUAGCGGUGAAAUGCGUAGAUAUAUGGAGGAACACCGGUGGCGAAAUCGGCUCUCUGGUCUGUAACUGACGCUGA
RNAcentral lists this ribosomal RNA (694 nucleotides) under uncultured Bacilli bacterium. Its description in RNAcentral is "bacterial SSU rRNA". It matches the Rfam family "Bacterial small subunit ribosomal RNA", at positions 70 to 749 of the family's 1533-position model. Lineage: Bacteria; Bacillati; Bacillota; Bacilli. The record is from RNAcentral.